RNAcentral lists this long non-coding RNA (1359 nucleotides) under Sparus aurata (gilthead seabream). Its description in RNAcentral is "lncRNA (ENSSAUG00010022619.1)". Lineage: Eukaryota; Metazoa; Chordata; Actinopteri; Spariformes; Sparidae. The record is from RNAcentral.
AUGUGCCAGCCAGCUGUCUCCUGUCCUACAACACCUCUACAACCUGAGCCUGGGUCAGGAGGGAAUACCGGUGCUUUGGAAGACUUCCUGCCUGGUUCCUGUUCCAAAGAAGUCGCAACAUCAGACCUCAAUGACUAUCGACCAGUGGCCCUCACAUCUUACGUCAUGAAGGUGCUGGAGAGACUGGUUUUGGCCAACCUGAGGCCGCAGGUGAGAGCCCUGCUAGACCCUCUGCAAUUUGCUUACCAGCCCCACUUGGGAGUUGAUGACGCUGUCAUCUACCUGCUGCAACGAGCCCAUUCGCACCUGGAUGGUGGAGGAGGCACUGUGAGAAUCACAUUCUUUGAUUUCUCUAGUGCUUUUAUCACCAUUCAGCCACUGCUACUGGGGGAGAAGCUUCGGGUGAUGGGUGUAGAUGACACAAUGAUCUCCUGGAUUACUGACUACCUGACAGGCAGGCCACAGUUUGUCCAUAUGGGCAGUGUUCUGUCUGAUGCGGUGGUUAGUGAUACAGGAGAUCCACAGGGGACUGUACUGUCUCCUUUCCUGUUCACCUUAUACACCACUGACUUUCAGUACAACACCGGGUCGUGUCACCUGCAAAAGUUUUCUGACGACUCGGCUGUUGUUGGGUGUAUAAGUGAGAGACAGGAGGAGGAGUACAGGGCACUGGUAGACAACUUUUUGGAGUGGACUGGACAGAAUCACCUGCGGCUGAACAUCAGCAAGACCAGAGAGAUGGUGAUAGAUUUCAGGAAGAAGAGGAAGACGGCUUUCCAACCUCUGUGCAUUCUGGGAAAGGAUGUGGAGGCGGUGGAGGAUUACAAGUACCUGGGUGUUACCAUCAACCACAGACUGGACUGGAGAUCUAACACUGAAGCUGUUUACAAGAAGGGGAUGAGCAGACUUUACUUCCUGAGGAAGCUGAGAUCCUUCAACGUGUGCAGCAAGAUGUUGGAGAUCUUUUAUCAGUCUGUGGUGGCCAGUGUACUUUUCUUUGCUGUGGUUUGUUGGGGAAGCAGCAUUGGAGCCAGCGACACCAACAGACUCAACAAACUGAUCAGAAAGGCUGGCUCUGUGAUUGGCUGCAAACAGGACACUCUGGAGGCUGUGGUGGAGAGGAGGACACUGAAAAAACUGUUAUCCAUCAUGGAUAAUCCUCUCCACCCUCUCCAACUCACACUGGUCAGACAGCGGAGCACCUUCUCCGGAAGGCUGCUUCAGCUUCGCUGUCGUAGCAACAGAUACAGGAAAUCUUUCCUGCCACAAUCCAUCACUUUACAACAACUCUCUCACCUCUGCCUGACAGAGAACUCUGGUCUCUCUACUGUUUUGUUGUAUAUAUUAUUAUUGUUAUAG